This 75-nucleotide transfer RNA is filed under the name Stegastes leucostictus (beaugregory). RNAcentral describes it as "tRNA-Leu". It matches the Rfam family "tRNA". Rfam says of the family: Transfer RNA (tRNA) molecules are approximately 80 nucleotides in length. The record is from RNAcentral. Lineage: Eukaryota; Metazoa; Chordata; Actinopteri; Pomacentridae.
GUUAUGAUGGCAGUGCCCGGAUACUGCAAAAGGUUUAAGCCCUUUAAAUAGAGGUUCAAGUCCUCUUCUAUAUCA